CUCUGACUAUAAAUUCAAUUUUUUUUUGGCUCCUUGACUGUCCAUUUUGUCAACUCUGGCCACGAAUCUUAAGUGUCAAGAACAGCUAUUAGAACAAGAUGGUGCAUCACUGUUAUAAUUCCAGGUAAGAUGAUUCAAGUUGUCUAUUGUGAUGCCCACAGAAAACAUUCUGAUGUGAUGGAGAAGCUGCAAGGAUCACUUUUCUUCCUCCAUCUCAAAUGGUCUGUUCCAGGGAUCCCUGCAGGAAUGGAAGUGUUCACCAUAGAAUGGGCCCAGAGUUCUACUUGCAUUUUUCUUCAGAAGUCAUCCCUCCAUUGGUGAACCACAAUGGUUAGAUCUCCUGGAAACAGUCUUCAUUUAGAGGUAGUAUCUCAUAAUCUCUGAAAGGUGAUAGUUCCCUGUCUUCGUUGCACAUAUCUGACAGCCAUAGACUGACAUAUCUAACAUAGACUAUGACAUAUCUGGCAUAGACUGACAUAUCUGACAGCCAUAGACUACUUGAGAUAAUGCAAGGGGGCUAUGUAUAGCAUAGAUUGUGUAUCCUAAUCAGAACCUUGCAGAAAGAAUAUCUUGUGUAUUAUAUGGAUACAUCAUCUGUCAAUUAUUAAGCCUAGAGCUUAGGCAGAAAAUAGAGGAGGGACACCUGGGAGGAGAAAGAAUUCUGGGAUAGAGCCAGAGGCAGGAAAGCUGCCAAGGAAGAAUUAAAGACCUGGAUGCUUGGUACUUGAGCACAGAUAACCAGCCACAUGGCAAAAUGUAGGCGAAAAUAAUUGGGUUAUUUUAGUUAUGAUCUAGUCAGAGUAGAGCUUAGCUAUAUAGACAAACUAUUUGUAAAUAUAUUUUGAGGUUGAGUCUUAUUUCUGGAAGCAUGGGCUUGGGAGGAAGAACCAGGUGUAACGUCAACAGAACCUCCCCCAAUGUUUUCAGGUUCUCUUAUUUUCUUCAUAUCACACCAAUAACACUGUUCUUUAUAUUUCUCACCAGAUGUUGUUCAGUUAACCUGCCCAACUGCUUGAGAUAGAACAGUGAACCUCUGGCAAAUCAUUUAUUUAUUUAGCAGUGAUGGGUUUUGUUUAUUCUAGGCAAGUGUUCUAUUCUUGAGCUAUAUACUCAGCCUUUUAUUUAAAAAUUUGUUUAAAUAUUUUUUGGAAACAAAGCGAUACACUUAUGUUAGAAAUUUUAGAAAAUACAGAAGUGCUAUCAGUCCAACCUUACAAUUUGGCACAGUUUUUCUUUCUUUUUUUUUUCUAAAAAGGAAUGUGUGUGUGUGUGUGUGUGUGUGUGUGUGUGUGGCUGUGAAUAAAGAUAUACUUUCCUGAAAAAGGAAAGCUGAG
This 1334-nucleotide long non-coding RNA is filed under the name Mus spicilegus (steppe mouse). Its description in RNAcentral is "lncRNA (ENSMSIG00000025478.1)". The record is from RNAcentral. Lineage: Eukaryota; Metazoa; Chordata; Mammalia; Rodentia; Muridae.